This 524-nucleotide long non-coding RNA is filed under the name Mytilus galloprovincialis (Mediterranean mussel). Lineage: Eukaryota; Metazoa; Mollusca; Bivalvia; Mytilida; Mytilidae. The record is from RNAcentral.
UCACAGUGUGGGAACGGAACUGUACGGUUUUCUAAUAAUUUGGUCAUUCGGGAGACUGUCAAGCGGUGCUCCGACAUUUGCAAAAUAACAAGUUGCUUGAUGGAAACUUUGACAAACUCUUAUGUUCCUAUAUAACGUUUCUGCUUCAAGUUUUGAUAGCUAAAACAUUCUUUAUGUAAAUAGGAACCAAUAAAAUAAUAAGAAAGAUAUAUGCAUCCAAACGUUUUCCUUAGAAUGGUGGAGCUCCGUGUAAAACGAUCAAAAUUGUCACACAACAGCGAUCAAAAAUGUCAAAUAAACAUCGAAAAAUCAAUGUUUGCUACCUGAAUUUUCACAUGUACCUUUUCUGAUAUAUAGUCUUACCUGUCUGAAAGUUUCAAAGCCAUUGUCCCAGUAGAAAUCUAAAUAUAUUCAUUUUCUCCAUGUCGGAUAUUUUUAUUGACUGUACAAUCGCUUGCAAGUUUACUGUAAUAUCACUCGGAGCCUUCCUGUACAAUCGCUUGGAGCUUUCCUGUAGAAUUGCU